AUUGAACGCUGGCGGCAGGCCUAACACAUGCAAGUCGAGCGGAGCGGCGGACGGGUGAGUAAUGCCUAGGAAUCUGCCUGGUAGUGGGGGAUAACGGCCGGAAACGGGCGCUAAUAACGCAUAUUAGCAGAUGAGCCUACGUCGGAUUAGCUAGUUGGUGGGGUAAAGGCCUACCAAGGCGACGAUCCGUAACUGGUCUGAGAGGAUGAUCAGUCACACUGGGACUGAGACACGGUCCAGACUCCUACGGAAGGCAGCAGUGGGGAAUAUUGGACAUUGGGCGAAAGCCGGAUGCAUCCAUGCCGCGUGUGUGAAGAAGUUCUUCGGAUUGUAAAGUACGUUAAGUUGGGAGGCGUUACCGACGGAAUAAGCACCGGCUAACUUCGUGCCAGCAGCCGCGGUAAUUC
RNAcentral lists this ribosomal RNA (407 nucleotides) under uncultured bacterium. RNAcentral describes it as "partial 16S ribosomal RNA". It matches the Rfam family "Bacterial small subunit ribosomal RNA", at positions 30 to 526 of the family's 1533-position model. The record is from RNAcentral.